GAUGAACGCUGGCGGCGUGCCUAAUACAUGCAAGUCGAGCGAACAGACGAGGAGCUUGCUCCUCUGACGUUAGCGGCGGACGGGUGAGUAACACGUGGAUAACCUACCUAUAAGACUGGGAUAACUUCGGGAAACCGGAGCUAAUACCGGAUAAUAUAUUGAACCGCAUGGUUCAAUAGUGAAAGACGGUUUUGCUGUCACUUAUAGAUGGAUCCGCGCCGCAUUAGCUAGUUGGUAAGGUAACGGCUUACCAAGGCAACGAUGCGUAGCCGACCUGAGAGGGUGAAUGGACACACUGGAACUGAGAAACGGUCCCAACUCCUAACGGAGGCAGAAGUAGGGAAACUUCCGGAAUUGGCCAAAGCCUGAAGGAGCAACGCCGCCUGGGUUAUGAAGGUUUUCGGAUCGUAAAACUCUGUUAAUAGGGAAGAACAAAAUUGUAAGUAACUAUGCACGUCUUGACGGUACCUAAUCAGAAAGCCACGGCUAACUACGUG
RNAcentral lists this ribosomal RNA (497 nucleotides) under uncultured bacterium. RNAcentral describes it as "partial 16S ribosomal RNA". It matches the Rfam family "Bacterial small subunit ribosomal RNA", at positions 28 to 507 of the family's 1533-position model. The record is from RNAcentral.